Molecule: unclassified non-coding RNA, 1207 nt
Filed under: Hordeum vulgare subsp. vulgare (domesticated barley)
Lineage: Eukaryota; Viridiplantae; Streptophyta; Magnoliopsida; Poales; Poaceae
Description: external transcribed spacer
Source: RNAcentral
GGGGAGGAGGGGGCUCCUCCCUGCUUGGGUGUGGGAAAUCGGUGGGUUUGCAUAUGAAAUCAUAUGCAAACCUCCCGUUUCUCCCGUAACCCUUGCUUUUCCCAAACGUUGGCUCGGAUGUCCCGUCGUUCUCCUGUCCCGUGUACGACUCAUGCCAAAUUCUGAUCCGUCGGUCGAACGGCUGUUCGGGUUGCAGAAAAGUACGUAUCGUGUCCGCACACGGUCAGGUCGAUGUGAUCUCGUGCCGCGUUGUCCCGUCGGUCCCGUGUACGAAUCGUGCCAAAUUCUGAUCCGACGGCCCAAGGGCCGUUCGGGUUGCAGAAAAGUACGUAUCGUUUCGCACAUGGUCAGCUUGACGGGAUAUCGUGCAGCCUUGUCCCUGCCGGUCCCGUGUACGUGUCCCGUGAAAUUCUGACCCAACAGCCUAACUUGGCUCGGGAAACAGGAAAGUAGCAUAUCCCGUGCAUGAGAUCGACUAGACAAAGUUGCAACGACGUUGCCUUUCCGAAUAUAGUUGCCCCCAAAACUUUAUCGUUGCGGGGGUGACACACGCGUGAUGUGGUCUCUCUGGACGCCUCCUUCGAGUAAACCUCCCGUGCAUUGCACGGGCGGAUGCUCGGUUGGCUUGACCGAUGUAGGCUACUAAACGCAUGAGCAGCUUUGGACCCGUGUCUGCUGGUAGAUCCCCCGUCGUUCGACGGCUGACUAUUGGCGCCGUGUCCUACCAAUCAGUUGGCUUUGUACCAUCGAUGGAUCAGGAAGUGCUUGCAUAUGAGUACCCGACAUACGGGAAGUGGCGCGUGAAAUAUAUGUUGCCACACGGCGGACGUCGUACGGGCGUUUUGCUGUGGCUGGAUUGCGCUUGUGGCGUUGCCUCGUAUCACGGGCAUGUAAUGUGCCUGUUGUUAUCAAGGCAACCUCGCUCGCGUCGUUGGUCUCGGAUGUUGCUCACGAUAAAGGCUCAUGGCCCUUUUGGUUGCCUCGACCCGACCCAAGCUCUUCGUGCUGAGAACAACCGGAACUAGGGUUGCCUCUACCUCUCCACAGUUACGUGGUAGGAUACGCAACUCUCUGUGCCGAUCCUCACGAACGAUGAGCUAUGCCCGCCGGAAAUCGACAACCGGCUUGGCUGUUGCCUCUGCGUCUCUAUGCAAGUGGAACCGGAGGACGACAACCAAUGCUGGACGUCAUCGAGGACGUGCUACCU